Molecule: unclassified non-coding RNA, 396 nt
Filed under: Hevea brasiliensis (rubber tree)
Lineage: Eukaryota; Viridiplantae; Streptophyta; Magnoliopsida; Malpighiales; Euphorbiaceae
Source: RNAcentral
GCCGAUCGCCUCAUAUGCAAUCGAAUCGAAUUCGACGCCGUUUGGCUAGUACUACUACUCCGUCGAAUAUCCAUUUUCUUAUGCAUACUACAACGGAACGAACCUGGAUGAUUCGUCGGCGAACACAUACACCUCUUCUUCUGAGAAGAAGCCAGUGUUUUCUGCCGGUUCAUUACGGAAAUAGACCGGCUUGGGGAAGUUUCACGGUCCAGUGUAAACCGGAUCGAUGAAGCAGAAGACGACGAAGUUCUAGAUGACGAUGAGUAAAAUCUGCCGGCGGGAGAUAAUGAACGGAGCACCGGUCCGGUUGAUCGCCGUGCAGAAGCCGCCAUUUUUUGUUGUUUUACAGUUGAGAGAGAAGAAGAAGAAGAUUGGAGAGUAUUUCUUAGUGCCGCG